This 468-nucleotide ribosomal RNA is filed under the name uncultured bacterium. RNAcentral describes it as "partial 16S ribosomal RNA". It matches the Rfam family "Bacterial small subunit ribosomal RNA", at positions 28 to 507 of the family's 1533-position model. The record is from RNAcentral.
GACGAACGCUGGCGGCGUGCUUAACACAUGCAAGUCGAACGGAAAGGCCCUGCUUUUGUGGGGUGCUCGAGUGGCGAACGGGUGAGUAACACGUGAGUAACCUGCCCUUGACUUUGGGAUAACUUCAGGAAACUGGGGCUAAUACCGGAUAGGAGCUCCUGCUGCAUGGUGGGGGUUGGAAAGUUUCGGCGGUUGGGGAUGGACUCGCGGCUUAUCAGCUUGUUGGUGGGGUAGUGGCUUCCCAAGGGUUUGACGGGUAGCCGGCCUGAGAGGGUGACCGGCCACAUUGGGACUGAGAUACGGCCCAGACUCCUACGGGAGGCAGCAGUGGGGAAUAUUGCACAAUGGGCGGAAGCCUGAUGCAGCAACGCCGCGUGCGGGAUGACGGCCUUCGGGUUGUAAACCGCUUUCGCCUGUGACGAAGCGUGAGUGACGGUAAUGGGUAAAGAAGCACCGGCUAACUACGUG